RNAcentral lists this ribosomal RNA (253 nucleotides) under uncultured bacterium. Its description in RNAcentral is "partial 16S ribosomal RNA". It matches the Rfam family "Bacterial small subunit ribosomal RNA", at positions 524 to 776 of the family's 1533-position model. The record is from RNAcentral.
UACGUAGGGGGCAAGCGUUGUCCGGAAUCAUUGGGCGUAAAGAGCGUGUAGGCGGCUCGAUAAGUCCGCUGUGAAAGUCAAGGGCUCAACCCUUGAAAGCCGGCGGAUACUGUCGGGCUAGAGUCCGGAAGAGGCGAGUGGAAUUCCUGGUGUAGCGGUGAAAUGCGCAGAUAUCAGGAGGAACACCUACGGCGAAGGCAGCUCGCUGGGACGGUACUGACGCUGAGACGCGAAAGCGUGGGGAGCAAACAGG